AAGCUGUCCUCGCCGCACACUGUCUCUGACUUCCACACAGAACAGUGUGUGCCCGAGUGUGGCUUCAGUGCUUCACGGCAAACAGUUUGUGCGUUGUUGGUGGAUCAAACACUGGGAGGCUCAUUUAGUCAGUGUGUCGCGGAGCAAAUCAUGUGUACAGUGUUCCAGGAUGAAGCACCACAAUGAUACAAGUGCAGUGCUUAGGUUUGUGAAGGACGCGCCAUCACGUGGGCAGCCAUGAUCCCCUCCAUGCAGCUCCUGGAUGCCACGCGCCGCAACAAGUACUCUCAGGUGCGGGAACAUGGCAAGAGGUGGCGGCGUUGGCAGCUGGUAAUACACCCUCACAGGUGACCAAGGGCAGUACCGUCGCCAGGUGGCCACACAGCCCCCCUCCUCAUACUGCUGGUGAACCUCAACGUGACAGGUGACCUCACUAAGGUUACAGGUCGCAGAGAUUACCUGUAUUUACAUCUAAGAUCUCUAGAUGGACGGUACGUGGAACUGAAUCCUGAGACGAAUCAUCUUGGCAGCGCGAGACUCAAGGGACGAGGCUGAUAUGAUUGUGUGUGGCGUAAAUAACAAGCCAGCGCCAAGUACACGAGUUGGGACGAAACGACACCGUGACGCAGUGGGCCUCUGGUCUCGUGGAGAGUGAUCUGCCGCAAGAGGAGGAAUGCACGUGAGUUUUGUCCUGGCCAAGGAAUUCCGGAUAACGCAGGUGUUUGGGAGAGUGGAUGAUCAGACAGGACUGAGUAGAUGCUGAGUCUCGGGAGUGAACUGUGUGGUGCAGGACUGUAGCGGUUAUGCAGUCUCUUUUAACGAGACACAUCGUGGAGGAGGCUGGCGAGUGCUCUCAACACACGUGACGGAGCGGCGCCAUGGUAACUGUCACCGUGGCCAGGAAGUCUCUUGUGCUGAACACUGCAAUGUUGUGUUAUCAAGACUGUGUAUUGGUGCAGCGCAUACAGUCGGAUCACUAAGCGUGUUGUAGUGAUGAAACUAUGGAAACUAUGGCGAAUGAUUAUUGAUCGUUGGAAAAAAGCAUAGGUGUGAUAAUAAUUCGGUGCUUGAGUUACACUAACACUCCAUCACUACCGCCACCACGGCCAUCACCACCAUCACCACCGCCAUCACCACCGCCGCUACUAAGAGUGGCCACGCGCUCUUCAGGAACCCGCCACGCUGUUUGCCUUUUAUGGACAAGCCGAUCAAGAUAUAUAGUUUGGAAGGCCGCCAGCCAGCGCCCACCAGCGGCCCCAAUGCUCCUUGUGCCUUCACUUGCGGCGUCCCCUCUCCCCUAUCCUCCUCAAAGUCCUUCAGCAUGUCAGUGCCGCCGAAGUCCCGAGUGGCUUCGAGACAAGGAAGAGAAGCCACGCGACUCACUUCAGCCAGUCAGUCAGUGGUCAGUGGCGUCAGCUUCGUUGUGGUGUACGUGUGAGUCUUCUGUGUUUUCUUGGACGCUUAUUUGGGCUUUAGGUGAACCAAAACUCUCCCAAAGCUUAUCCACAGUGGUCAGCAGCUGUGACACAAGGAGCAGCUGUCUCAGCGGAGAGACGGUGGACGGCGGAUGAAUACUUCGGCUCCCGCGCCUUCUUCCGCAUCAUGUCCGACCCGCCGAUCCUGGUGGUGGGCGGCGUGCGUCAGAGGAGUUGAAAAAUGUGAGGGAAGACACAGUAUGUUGAGGGAAGGCAGCUGCACUAGUGACAGCAGCAGCAGAGCCCCACCACUGCUGCUGCUCCUCUCCUCUUCCCAGCACAGCAGCACACAGGACACAUUUCCAUCAUCUUUAAAUCCCGGACACUUGUGCCUUGGUGAUAAUCUCACAGCAGCAAACCCUACAUUGCUCAGGUCAACUUCCAGCUAGAAUCAUAAUAUCUGGAGUUAUUUUUCCACAAAGAAGGAUUCAAAAUAUCCCCCCCAAAAAAUAAGAUAUUUUUAGAAAUGAAAAUCCACUCGAAUUUUCUGCCUGAAGCUCUCGUUAAAAUGACUCCCUCUUGAAUCUUGUGUCCGACUCCAACUGUGUCCAAGAGAAUGGAUCUCCAGUUUGUAGUGAGACUUCCGAGCCGCCCAGACCUGUGAAGGCGAGCAGUCUGUCAGAUAAUGAGAGUAGACAACAUAAGCAACAUAAUGAGAGACAAAGUCACAAUAAUAGAGAUAAAAUGAAGGCACUCAAGUAUUAAUGAGAAAACAAAACAGAAUAAUAAGCAAAGUAAAAUAAUGAGACAAUAAGGCCAGUCAACAAAUAAUAGUGAAUUUACUGUAGGAAGGGUCUGCUGUACUACUUAAUGACCAUUCAAGUCUACUUGUUAAAGAUGUGUUUACACUUUGAAGUGUCAUUUUCUUGUACUAUGAUACAUUUUUUACUAUUUUCUUCCACCUGCCUUAAUUAACAUUGAGUAGAGUCUCACUAAUACAACUUGAAUAUUACUCAGCCGGCAGUCUUUGCCAUGGUGGAGUGUGACACUGAAUCAGUACUGACAUUUUAUCAUUUACAUUUCAUUACUUUGAUUACUCAACAAAAUACUGCAUUGUUUUUUGUAAUCUGCUGACUGGUGAAGGGACAACGUGUGCUCCUCAACACUUGGUUCUUGCCACGUGCCGCAGCAGACUGACAGCUUCCAGUGGGCCUGUCUGAGGUAAUGCACCACACAACAUUAGGAAUAGGAACAAUUAUUUCACUAAAACUUUAAUUACCUGCACUAAAAACUUUCAAUGAGUUUAUGUACUUUGUGAAUUUAGGAAUCUGGAACAAUGAUUGCACUUAUUUAACUACCUGCACUAAAGUGUUUGCUUUAGUUAUGGUGUUGACAGUAAGUAUAAAUACUUUAAGGGGCGUGACCUCCGCCGCAUUGCUUCAGCAGCCUUCAAGUCCCGGCAAUGAAACGGUUCGUGUGAGGAAGACUGCUUCUGGUGCUCCUGGUGGAAAUUGUUACUAGUGUCGUGGUGGCAGCACGGGCCUCGGCACUCCCUGGCACCACGGCAGGUGUCAGUGAGGCAGGCAGGUGUUGGUUCAAGUCCUGGCAGUGUCACUUCGCUGCUGUAUUGUUUGGUGCAGCGGAAAAUGCUACGUUUUUCAUCACUUAGUGUAGAGUCUAUUUUUGCUUGACGUUAUUUGUGUUGGUAAGGCAUUUCCACUAUAUAGUGGUAGAUAUUCUGGGAAAUAAGGAAUUAGCAAUACUAAGACAUGCUUGAACAACACUCACCAGUGUGGAAGACUUGUCAGGCAGUGGCUGUAGUGGCUUCACUUGAACCACGACCAUGUUCUCCUCAACCCUUGGAAAGAGAACAAUUCAUCUGAAAUGGAGAUACAAAGAUAUUGGGGAAAAUUUAAGAGAGAGACGCUGCAAAGUGUAGCUGACAGUGUGCGUGUCGUUAUCAAGAGGAGGGGCUCUAAAAUGAAACAGUAGGACACUCGUGAAGACAUUCAUACUAUCUUUUCUCAAGGGAAGAGUGUGUCGUGUGUGUUAACAACGUCAGGCGCGGACAUUUUUUGCAUCAAGGGUGAUGUACGAUCCGGACAUGAAAAAAGUUUUUUCUUUUAUAAUUUUCUAAUUUUUUUCUGCUUCUUUUGAUAUAUGUAACGUUUUGAUAAGAACUAAAAAAAUCCCCAUAUGUAAAGAGGUCUUCUGUUAUGAAAUUCCCACGGUUUCGCCCGCUGCGAGACAUGUCACACAAGUUUUUUUUACAUUUUUUUUUCUCUUUUCAUAUAUUUUUCUGACAUACCCGUUCUUCUUCACUCUCCCAUGAAUAUCUACGGUUCUCUUGCUGCAUACAAUAUUAGAAAGCACGAAAUUCUAGGUCUAACUAUUUUCUCAAAUUGAUAUACGAAAAAAAAAUCAUAUAAUUAUUUUUUUUUUCGUAAAUCUAGCAAAUAGUUAAUGUAUCUGCAUUAGAUAUCUUUUGCAUUAAUAUUUUAUUUACUUUCAAACAAUUAAACACUGGUUUUUACUUAGAAAUAUGGCGAAAUAUAACAAAAAUUGUUUUCACCCGCCUUCUCCCCUCCCACCCGGUAAUUAAGGGUGAAAUCAUGAAUAGCUUUAGGCCUUAUACACAAAACCAAUCGGAGUAACUAAAACUAUGUCUGCUUUUUCAACAUAUUCUGAUGUAUAUAUCGCGUGAAUUUCAAGUCCCUGGCUGCAAUAGGUGAAUUAGUCACCCCUUAAACUUUAUGACAUAAUAUCUCAAAAUGGCGGAUUUUAGCAUAUAAAAAUGAUCUGCUCCGUUUUUAUUGGUGUUACAGACAGAUGGGCUAUUGCGGCUUAUCAAACUGUGAUAGGCGAAUAAAGUCUGCUGUCGUCGUUUUUGUUUGGAGUUAAUUUUGAUUUUUGACAAAUAUUUCAAAGUUUUUUUUUUUUUUUACUUUUCAUCGAAAAAAAAUCGUACAAUAAAAGAAAAAAGAUAGCAGACUUUGUUCUCCUAUCCUUCCUGAUCAAAAUACUUUUUAAAUAAAUGAGGGAGGAGAUACGAGUUGAACACAGGCAAUUUAACAAGGGAUUAGCGAUCCUUCAACCACCCUCAAGUGUAUGAAUAAAGGUGAUUAGUUACUUUGAUGUGGAAAGACUGUAAUUUGUAAAGAUGAGAAUAAAUGAGAAUAAAUUAUU
Scylla paramamosain (green mud crab) is the source of this 4601-nucleotide RNA transcript. RefSeq lists it as uncharacterized. The record is from RefSeq and is a predicted model, not a curated record. The transcript has 10 exons. NCBI's taxonomy places the organism in Eukaryota, Metazoa, Arthropoda, Malacostraca, Decapoda, Portunidae.